AACGAACGCUGGCGGCAGGCUUAACACAUGCCAGUCGAACGCCCCGCAAGGGGAGUGGCAGACGGGUGAGUAACGCGUGGGAAUCUACCCUGAACUGCGGGAUAGCUCCGGGAAACUGGAAUUAAUACCGCAUGUGCCCUGAGGGGCAAAGAGUUAUCGGUUCAGGAUGAGCCCGCGUCCGAUUAGCUAGUUGGUGGGGUAAAGGCCUACCAAGGCGACGAUCGGUAGCUGGUCUAAGAGGAUGAUCCGCCACAUUGGGACUGCGACACGGCCCCAACUCCUACGGGAGGCAGCAGUGGGGAAUAUUGGACAAGGGGCGCAAGCCUGAUCCAGCCAUGCCGCGUGAGUGAUGAAGGCCCUAGGGUUGUACAGCUCUUUCACCGGGGACGAUAAUGACGGUACCCGGAGAAGAAGCACCGGCUAACUUCGUG
RNAcentral lists this ribosomal RNA (431 nucleotides) under uncultured bacterium. Its description in RNAcentral is "partial 16S ribosomal RNA". It matches the Rfam family "Bacterial small subunit ribosomal RNA", at positions 29 to 507 of the family's 1533-position model. The record is from RNAcentral.